RNAcentral lists this ribosomal RNA (418 nucleotides) under uncultured bacterium. RNAcentral describes it as "bacterial SSU rRNA". It matches the Rfam family "Bacterial small subunit ribosomal RNA", at positions 122 to 518 of the family's 1533-position model. The record is from RNAcentral.
UAACCUGCCCAUAAGAGGGGGAGUAACAUCCGGAAACGGGUGCUAAUACCGCAUAGUUUUCUUGAUCGCAUGAUCGGGAAAGGAAAGGACGGCCUCUGUGCUGUCGCUUAUGGAUGGACCCGCGGCGUAUUAGUUAGUUGGUGAGGUAAUGGCUCACCAAGACGAUGAUACGUAGCCGACCUGAGAGGGUGAUCGGCCACAUUGGGACUGAGACACGGCCCAAACUCCUACGGGAGGCAGCAGUAGGGAAUCUUCCGCAAUGGACGAAAGUCUGACGGAGCAACGCCGCGUGAGUGAAGAAGGGUUUUUUCCGGAUCGUAAAACUCUGUUGUCAGAGAAGAACAAGUUGGAGAGUAACUGCUCCAGCCUUGACGGUAUCUGACCAGAAAGCCACGGCUAACUACGUGCCAGCAGCAGC